This 77-nucleotide transfer RNA is filed under the name Clostridiales bacterium. RNAcentral's name for it is "tRNA-Arg". It matches the Rfam family "tRNA". Rfam says of the family: Transfer RNA (tRNA) molecules are approximately 80 nucleotides in length. RNAcentral also lists the same sequence under 1 other name. The record is from RNAcentral. Lineage: Bacteria; Bacillati; Bacillota; Clostridia; Eubacteriales.
GUAUCCGUAGCUCAGCUGGAUAGAGCACAGGCCUCCGACGCCUGGUGCCGUUGGUUCGAAUCCAAUCGGGUACACCA